Molecule: ribosomal RNA, 253 nt
Filed under: uncultured bacterium
Lineage: Bacteria
Description: partial 16S ribosomal RNA
Rfam family: Bacterial small subunit ribosomal RNA
Source: RNAcentral
UACGAAGGGGGCUAGCGUUGCUCGGAAUCACUGGGCGUAAAGCGCACGUAGGCGGAUUGCUAAGUCAGGGGUGAAAUCCUGGAGCUCAACUCCAGAACUGCCCUUGAUACUGACGAUCUCGAGUCCGGGAGAGGUGAGUGGAACUCCGAGUGUAGAGGUGAAAUUCGUAGAUAUUCGGAAGAACACCAGUGGCAAAGGCGGCUCACUGGCCCGGUACUGACGCUGAGGUGCGAAAGCGUGGGGAGCAAACAGG